CGGUGUAUUUACUCAGUCAAACCUAUGACCGAGCAGCUAAAGGAAAAUAAACACAAUUGUCUGUCCGACUGUUGCCACGUUCAUGUGCUAUUCGAAAAUACAAAACUAGGAAAUGUCCGACUUGUUAAUAGGUUGAACACGCGGCACGUAUAUAUGUACAACAGGUUAGCAAGUCGGACAUUUCUGAGUUUCGUAGUUUCCGACGAGUACUUGAACGCGGCACGUAUCCACACCCCUGUUACUUGUUCUACAUUUCUGCUCGGAGGAAGUGGCCCCUUUCCUCACCCUGUCGCUAUUUACCGCGGGGAUACAAAAUUACUAACAAACUAUUCUGUUGUGUGAAAAUGAGGCAAUUGUCGUCCUAGAAAAUUGAGAAAUCGUCUCUGCAGAAUAGCACGCACGUUGUAACAACAUAGUUGUAAGAAGAUACGCCAGAGUGGAUCGUUUUGAGCUGGAGUAGCCUCGUCUGCUUUGUUUACGUUGGGAUUGUUUUGAUGCGGGGUGUUUUCACGGUGACGUUUUUGCGUGGAAAACGACUGUAAAUCCUGCAACGAUGGCAAUGCAGGCCCAGGUGAUAUAUGACUUCAGUGCUGAACCAGGAAAUAACGAGUUGACAGUCAGAGAAGGAGAGACUGUCACCGUCCUCAAUCAGAAUGUUGGUGGAGGAUGGAUAGAGGCUCAGAACUCCAGAGGAG
Oncorhynchus gorbuscha (pink salmon) is the source of this 695-nucleotide long non-coding RNA. RefSeq lists it as uncharacterized. The transcript is spliced from 3 exons. Lineage: Eukaryota; Metazoa; Chordata; Actinopteri; Salmoniformes; Salmonidae. The record is from RefSeq and is a predicted model, not a curated record.